RNAcentral lists this unclassified non-coding RNA (339 nucleotides) under soil metagenome. RNAcentral describes it as "partial contains 5.8S ribosomal RNA, internal transcribed spacer 2, and large subunit ribosomal RNA". The stretch from base 1 to 120 matches the Rfam family "5.8S ribosomal RNA", at positions 35 to 154 of the family's 154-position model. The record is from RNAcentral.
GAUGAAGAACGUAGCGAAAUGCGAUAAGUAAUGUGAAUUGCAGAAUUCAGUGAAUCAUCGAAUCUUUGAACGCACAUUGCGCCCGCCAGCACUCUGGCGGGCAUGCCUGUUCGAGCGUCAUUUCAACCAUCAAGCCCCCAGGGGCUUGUGCUGGGGCCCUGCGGCUGCCCGCAGGCCCUGAAAACCAGUGGCGGGCUCGCUAGUCACACCGAGCGCAGUAGCACAUCUCGCUCAGGGCGUGCUGCGGGUUCCGGCCGUUAAAAAGCCUUCGUAACCCAAGGUUGACCUCGGAUCAGGUAGGAAGACCCGCUGAACUUAAGCAUAUCAAUAAGCGGAGGA